UCCAAAAGGUUGGUUUGGUGUU
Molecule: microRNA, 22 nt
Filed under: Marchantia polymorpha subsp. ruderalis
Lineage: Eukaryota; Viridiplantae; Streptophyta; Marchantiopsida; Marchantiales; Marchantiaceae
Source: RNAcentral